RNAcentral lists this ribosomal RNA (269 nucleotides) under uncultured bacterium. RNAcentral describes it as "partial 16S ribosomal RNA". It matches the Rfam family "Bacterial small subunit ribosomal RNA", at positions 793 to 1055 of the family's 1533-position model. The record is from RNAcentral.
GUCCCGGCUGUAAACGAUGGACACUAAGUGGGGGAAGGCUUGCUUUUCUCUGCUGCAGCUAACGCGUUAAGUGUCCCGCCUGGGGAGUACGGCCGCAAAGGUUAAAACUCAAAAGGAAUUGGACGGGGGCUCGCACAAGCGGUGGAGCAUGUGGUUCAAUUCGAUGCAACGCGAAGAACCUUACCCGGGCUUGAAGUGGAGGUGGUAGGAGCCGGAAACGGCAACGACCCCGCAAGGGGAGCCUUCAUCAGGUGUUGCAUGGCUGUCGU